GAGAAGUCAUUUGCUCAAGAAUGUCUGGGCCACUUGGCAUCAUCAACUCUGCAGUAGGUGACAGGCUCCGCUUGGGGCCAACCUGGAAAGGCCGGAGCUUGUCCAGAGCUGAAUAAGAACAUGUUUGGGAUAUGACCCUAGGAAUAGAAUUACGAAGUCAAAGGGUCUUGGAUACUUUGCUGUACUUGAGGAUUCACAUCUGCCCCAGAAAGCCAGAACCCCAUGGAAUGUGAGGAUUGCACAAUAAAGUCAUCAAGAAUGUCUGGGCCACGUGGUGUCAAGGUGAAAUCACUCAA
Molecule: long non-coding RNA, 296 nt
Organism: Cebus imitator (Panamanian white-faced capuchin)
Lineage: Eukaryota; Metazoa; Chordata; Mammalia; Primates; Cebidae
Exons: 3
Source: RefSeq, a predicted model, not a curated record